AUUGAACGCUGGCGGCAUGCUUUACACAUGCAAGUCGAACGGCAGCGCGGGCUUCGGCCUGGCGGCGAGUGGCGAACGGGUGAGUAAUACAUCGGAACGUGCCCAGUAGUGGGGGAUAGCUCGGCGAAAGCCGGAUUAAUACCGCAUACGACCUGAGGGUGAAAGCGGGGGAUCUUCGGACCUCGCGCUAUUGGAGCGGCCGAUGGCAGAUUAGCUAGUUGGUGGGGUAAAGGCCUACCAAGGCGACGAUCUGUAGCUGGUCUGAGAGGACGACCAGCCACACUGGGACUGGGACACGGCCCAGACUCCUACGGGAGGCAGCAGUGGGGAAUGUUGGACAAUGGGCGAAAGCCUGAUCCAGCAAUGCCGCGUGUGUGAUGAAGGCCUUCGGGUUGUAAAGCACUUUUGGCGGGAACGAAAAGGACUGUGCCAAUACCACGGUUCGAUGACGGUACCCGCAGAAUAAGCACCGGCUAACUACGUG
Molecule: ribosomal RNA, 484 nt
Filed under: uncultured bacterium
Lineage: Bacteria
Description: partial 16S ribosomal RNA
Rfam family: Bacterial small subunit ribosomal RNA
Source: RNAcentral